RNAcentral lists this ribosomal RNA (439 nucleotides) under uncultured bacterium. RNAcentral's name for it is "bacterial SSU rRNA". It matches the Rfam family "Bacterial small subunit ribosomal RNA", at positions 954 to 1392 of the family's 1533-position model. The record is from RNAcentral.
GCACAACGCGAAGAACCUUACCAGGCCUUGACAUGCAGAGAACUUUCCAGAGAUGGAUUGGUGCCUUCGGGAACUCUGACACAGGUGCUGCAUGGCUGUCGUCAGCUCAUGUCGUGAGAUGUUGGGUUAAGUCCCGUAACGAGCGCAACCCUUGUCCUUAGUUACCAGCACGUUAUGGUGGGCACUCUAAGGAGACUGCCGGUGACAAACCGGAGGAAGGUGGGGAUGACGUCAAGUCAUCAUGGCCCUUACGGCCUGGGCUACACACGUGCUACAAUGGUCGGUACAGAGGGUUGCCAAGCCGCGAGGUGGAGCUAAUCUCACAAAACCGAUCGUAGUCCGGAUCGCAGUCUGCAACUCGACUGCGUGAAGUCGGAAUCGCUAGUAAUCGCGGAUCAGAAUGUCGCGGUGAAUACGUUCCCGGGUCUUGUACACACCG